This 429-nucleotide ribosomal RNA is filed under the name uncultured bacterium. Its description in RNAcentral is "bacterial SSU rRNA". It matches the Rfam family "Bacterial small subunit ribosomal RNA", at positions 354 to 796 of the family's 1533-position model. The record is from RNAcentral.
GUCGAGAAUAUUCCUCAAUGGGCGAAAGCCUGAAGGAGCGACGCCGCGUGCAGGAUGAAGGCUCUAGGGUCGUAAACUGCUUUUCUCACAGAAAAACUUACGUGAUUGUAUGUGAGGAAUAAGAGGUUACUAACUCUGUGCCAGCAGUAGCGGUAAUACAGAGACCUCAAGCGUUAUCCGGAUUUAUUGGGCGUAAAGCGCAGGUAGGUGGAUAUGUUAGUCAGGUGUUAAAUUUCCGGGCCCAACCCAGAAACUGCAUUUGAAACGGCAUAUCUAGAGGAAACGAGGGACCACUGGAACUUAUGGUGUAGCAGUGAAAUGCGUUGAUAUCAUAAGGAACACCAAAGGCGAAGGCAUGUGGUUGGCGUUUUUCUGACACUGAGCUGCGAAAGCGUGGGUAGCGAAUGGGAUUAGAUACCCGGGUAGUCC